GUACAGACAGCGUGGUGUGGGGGUGUCCCCCUCUCGUGUCGAGAGAUGUUGGGUUAUAUCCCGCAAAGAGCGCAACCCUUGCCUUUAUUUGUCCUCAUUAAGUUGGGCACUCUAAAGAGACUGCCGGGGAUAACCAGGAGGAAGGUGGGGAUGACGUCAAAUCAUCAUGCCCCUUAUGCUUAGGGCUACACACGUGCUACAAUGGGUGGUACAAAGGGCAGCCAAGUCGUGAGGCGGAGCUAAUCCCUAAAAGCCCCUCUCAUUUCGGAUUGUAGGCUGAAACUCACCCUACAUGAAGCUGGAUUUACUAGUAAUCACAAAUCAAAAUGCUGCGG
RNAcentral lists this ribosomal RNA (335 nucleotides) under uncultured bacterium. Its description in RNAcentral is "bacterial SSU rRNA". It matches the Rfam family "Bacterial small subunit ribosomal RNA", at positions 1028 to 1362 of the family's 1533-position model. The record is from RNAcentral.